RNAcentral lists this ribosomal RNA (1074 nucleotides) under uncultured Bacillus sp. RNAcentral describes it as "bacterial SSU rRNA". It matches the Rfam family "Bacterial small subunit ribosomal RNA", at positions 49 to 1104 of the family's 1533-position model. Lineage: Bacteria; Bacillati; Bacillota; Bacilli; Caryophanales; Bacillaceae. The record is from RNAcentral.
UAAUACAUGCAGUCGAGCGGACAGAUGGGAGCUUGCUCCCUUAUGUUAGCGGCGGACGGGUGAGUAACACGUGGGUAACCUGCCUGUAAGACUGGGAUAACUCCGGGAAACCGGGGCUAAUACCGGAUGCUUGAUUGAACCGCAUGGUUCAAUUAUAAAAGGUGGCUUUUAGCUACCACUUACAGAUGGACCCGCGGCGCAUUAGCUAGUUGGUGAGGUAACGGCUCACCAAGGCAACGAUGCGUAGCCGACCUGAGAGGGUGAUCGGCCACACUGGGACUGAGACACGGCCCAGACUCCUACGGGAGGCAGCAGUAGGGAAUCUUCCGCAAUGGACGAAAGUCUGACGGAGCAACGCCGCGUGAGUGAUGAAGGUUUUCGGAUCGUAAAACUCUGUUGUUAGGGAAGAACAAGUACCGUUCGAAUAGGGCGGUACCUUGACGGUACCUAACCAGAAAGCCACGGCUAACUACGUGCCAGCAGCCGCGGUAAUACGUAGGUGGCAAGCGUUGUCCGGAAUUAUUGGGCGUAAAGCGCGCGCAGGCGGUUUCUUAAGUCUGAUGUGAAAGCCCCCGGCUCAACCGGGGAGGGUCAUUGGAAACUGGGGAACUUGAGUGCAGAAGAGGAGAGUGGAAUUCCACGUGUAGCGGUGAAAUGCGUAGAGAUGUGGAGGAACACCAGUGGCGAAGGCGACUCUCUGGUCUGUAACUGACGCUGAGGCGCGAAAGCGUGGGGAGCGAACAGGAUUAGAUACCCUGGUAGUCCACGCCGUAAACGAUGAGUGCUAAGUGUUAGAGGGUUUCCGCCCUUUAGUGCUGCAGCAAACGCAUUAAGCACUCCGCCUGGGGAGUACGGUCGCAAGACUGAAACUCAAAGGAAUUGACGGGGGCCCGCACAAGCGGUGGAGCAUGUGGGUUAAUUCGAAGCAACGCGAAGAACCUUACCAGGUCUUGACAUCCUCUGACAACCCUAGAGAUAGGGCUUCCCCUUCGGGGGCAGAAUGACAGGUGGUGCAUGGUUGUCGUCAGCUCGUGUCGGGAGAUGUUGGGUUAAGUCCCGCAACGAGCGCAACCC